Aegilops tauschii subsp. strangulata is the source of this 1870-nucleotide non-coding RNA. Lineage: Eukaryota; Viridiplantae; Streptophyta; Magnoliopsida; Poales; Poaceae. The record is from RefSeq and is a predicted model, not a curated record.
UGGACUCUGUUCUUCUUGAACAUACCCUCUCGCGUCUCGGCCGCCCGGCUGGUGGGGAUCAACCCGUUUGCCGCCGCCGUCGGCGGCGCUGCUGGUGACGGCCUGAAGAGGGAGCGGAGAUUUGAUUUGUGAUUUCGGCUUGUGCGGCGGCGAUGGGGGUGCUGUCGCGGCCGGAGGAGGUGCCGGCGCUGGUCAGGCUCAAGCUGGCGGCGGGGCGGAUCAGGCGCGAGAUCCCGCCCCAGGAGCACUGGGCCUUCGCCUACGACAUGCUCCAGCGGGUCUCCCGCAGCUUCGCGCUCGUCAUCCAGCAGCUCGGACCAGACCUCCGCAAUGCCGUGUGCGUCUUCUACCUCGUGCUCCGGGCCCUGGACACCGUCGAGGACGACACCGCCAUCCCUAACGAGGUCAAGCUGCCCAUCCUUCGGGAUUUCUACCGCCACAUCUACAACCCGGACUGGCUCUUUUCAUGUGGAGCAAACGACUACAGAGUGCUCAUGGAUUAUUUUAGACAAGUCUCCACUGCUUUCUUGGAGCUAGGCGAAGGUAUUUCUUCCAGGUGGUAUAAAUGACACACCCUCUCAUGUGGACUAUAAACAUUUGCUAUAGAUCACCUUCAAUAACUUUUCUCUACAUGCACAGUCGAUAUGUGUUCAGUCCAACCCCAUGGCAUCAGGGAGGUCGAGUUUGUCGCGAGCAGCAGUACAUGGUUGUCGGCUUCCACUUUCUUCCACCUAGGUGCUUUCGCUCGGUGAUACAAGGCUUGUAAUGUUCUCCCUUGUGAGCUCUCUCUCUCUCUUUCACUGUCCGUGUUCAUGUUUAGUACUGCUUCAAUUUCUUUGUGAUGCAAAUGUUGCUGGCGAACAUACUUUGUGUAGAUAAAACUUACAAAAAAGCACUUUUUCUGGUCGCGAAAUUUUCCGAAUUUGAUCUGGUCUAGCAGUUCAACAUGUAUUGUAUCAUCAAAACAACUCAUAUGCAUUUUAUAUAUGCAACAACCUAUACGGUUCAGUACAUCAGUUCAUAAUAAACAAAAACAAUUGAACAGAUCAGUGUCUUGGUGCAUGAUCGAAGGUGCAUAUGGAAGCAUCCCCGUGUCAAUUGUAGUACACAUCUUUUUAAUACAAAUGUUUUAAAAGUUUCUUUUUGAACUUCUCCCAAUUAAUAUACCUGAACUUGAUUAUCUUUCUAACAUGUACUUAUACCAGCUUCAUUAGAUUUUGUGUUAGUGCUUGUAACACAAUCAGUUCAGAUCUCGAUAGACCAUAAGUUCAAGUUCACUAGUAUUUGUAAAUGCUGGUAGCAGUACUAGUAUUUACAAAUUUGUAACCUAAGAACUAAGCUUGCAUCUUGUUACUUCUAUGGAAGCAUUGACCUCGUAAUUUUAUUGGACCAACCACUAACAUAAGAAUUAGACAUGGUGCUCAGUGUAUUCUCUCAAUCUUGGUUGUUCUUACAGUGCUUAUAAUCUUGACAUCUUUGAUGAAUCCAGCCCGAACUGAAGCAUGUCGGCAAGCCGGGCCUCAAAAGGCCCUUCUCCCGCUACUGUCUCGAUCUUGAACUGAUGUUGUUGUCAUCUGUCUACCUCCUUCCUUGGUGAGCCCAUGUUCUUCUGCUCUUGACGCUCGAGCCGCCUGCACUUCUUUUCUCAGUUCAAAAAUUCCCAAAGCAUCAGUACUAUGUAUCAGGAUACACCAUGUUAGUUCUGCAGAUUUCCAUUAUGCUUGUAUGUCCUCCUGUACUGCAAGUUCAUUAGCUGAAGUUUAGAAUCGAGAGACUGCAAGUUCAUUAAAAUUGAAAAACAUUCAACUAAAUUCCUCAUGUACUGUAUUAUUACCACUGUUCUGAAAAUGACAGUUGGGCAGGAGCAAAA